RNAcentral lists this ribosomal RNA (253 nucleotides) under uncultured bacterium. Its description in RNAcentral is "partial 16S ribosomal RNA". It matches the Rfam family "Bacterial small subunit ribosomal RNA", at positions 524 to 776 of the family's 1533-position model. The record is from RNAcentral.
UACGGAGACUGCAAGCGUUACUCGGAUUCACUGGGCGUAAAGCGUCCGCAGGCGGUCUAGUCAGUUUGAUGUGAAAGCCCUCUGCUCAAAGGAGGAAGUGCAUUGAAUACUGCUAGACUAGAGUAUUGGAGGGGUGAACGGAAUUCCUGGUGUAGAGGUGAAAUUCGUAGAUAUCAGGAGGAACAACGGAAGCGAAGGCGGUUCACUGGACAAUUACUGACGCUCAUGGACGAAAGUGUGGGGAGCGAACGGG